RNAcentral lists this ribosomal RNA (158 nucleotides) under Fusarium solani. RNAcentral's name for it is "5.8S ribosomal RNA". It matches the Rfam family "5.8S ribosomal RNA". From Rfam's summary of the family: 5.8S ribosomal RNA (5.8S rRNA) is a component of the large subunit of the eukaryotic ribosome. It is transcribed by RNA polymerase I as part of the 45S precursor that also contains 18S and 28S rRNA. Functionally, it is thought that 5.8S rRNA may be involved in ribosome translocation. Lineage: Eukaryota; Fungi; Ascomycota; Sordariomycetes; Hypocreales; Nectriaceae. RNAcentral also lists the same sequence under 2 other names. The record is from RNAcentral.
AUAAAUUAAAACUUUCAACAACGGAUCUCUUGGCUCUGGCAUCGAUGAAGAACGCAGCGAAAUGCGAUAAGUAAUGUGAAUUGCAGAAUUCAGUGAAUCAUCGAAUCUUUGAACGCACAUUGCGCCCGCCAGUAUUCUGGCGGGCAUGCCUGUUCGAG